CAUGCGUUUCAUGAUGGUCGUUUGGAGGAAGUGGUUCUGCGGCAUCUGGAUGCAGAAGAUGGGCAGACUGUGAUAGCAAAAGAUAUAAGGUUGUCUGACUUUCUUGAGGGUAUGCGUAUAUGAAUGAGGACUCUCUUAAGCACAAUAAAAGACAA
This is a long non-coding RNA of Brassica oleracea var. oleracea, 155 nucleotides long. RefSeq lists it as uncharacterized. The record is from RefSeq and is a predicted model, not a curated record. The transcript is spliced from 2 exons. NCBI's taxonomy places the organism in Eukaryota, Viridiplantae, Streptophyta, Magnoliopsida, Brassicales, Brassicaceae.